GUGGGGAAUCUUGCGCAAUGGGCGAAAGCCUGACGCAGCCAUGCCGCGUGAAUGAUGAAGGUCUUAGGAUUGUAAAAUUCUUUCACCGGGGACGAUAAUGACGGUACCCGGAGAAGAAGCCCCGGCUAACUUCGUGCCAGCAGCCGCGGUAAUACGAAGGGGGCUAGCGUUGGUCGGAAUUACUGGGCGUAAAGGGCGCGUAGGCGGACAGUUUAGUCAGAGGUGAAAGCCCAGGGCUCAACCUUGGAAUUGCCUUUGAUACUGGCUGUAUUGAGUACGGGAGAGGUGAGUGGAACUCCGAGUGUAGAGGUGAAAUUCGUAGAUAUUCGGAAGAACACCAGUGGCGAAGGCGACUCACUGGCCCGUUACUGACGCUGAGGCGCGAAAGCGUGGGGAGCAAACAGGAUUAGAUACCCCUGUAGUCC
This 425-nucleotide ribosomal RNA is filed under the name uncultured bacterium. Its description in RNAcentral is "partial 16S ribosomal RNA". It matches the Rfam family "Bacterial small subunit ribosomal RNA", at positions 354 to 796 of the family's 1533-position model. The record is from RNAcentral.